Molecule: ribosomal RNA, 870 nt
Filed under: Fusarium acuminatum
Lineage: Eukaryota; Fungi; Ascomycota; Sordariomycetes; Hypocreales; Nectriaceae
Description: partial large subunit ribosomal RNA
Rfam family: Eukaryotic large subunit ribosomal RNA
Source: RNAcentral
GCAUAUCAAUAAGCGGAGGAAAAGAAACCAACAGGGAUUGCCCUAGUAACGGCGAGUGAAGCGGCAACAGCUCAAAUUUGAAAUCUGGCUUUCGGGCCCGAGUUGUAAUUUGUAGAGGAUACUUUUGAUGCGGUGCCUUCCGAGUUCCCUGGAACGGGACGCCAUAGAGGGUGAGAGCCCCGUCUGGUUGGAUGCCAAAUCUCUGUAAAGUUCCUUCGACGAGUCGAGUAGUUUGGGAAUGCUGCUCUAAAUGGGAGGUAUAUGUCUUCUAAAGCUAAAUAUUGGCCAGAGACCGAUAGCGCACAAGUAGAGUGAUCGAAAGAUGAAAAGCACUUUGAAAAGAGAGUUAAAAAGUACGUGAAAUUGUUGAAAGGGAAGCGUUUAUGACCAGACUUGGACUUGGUUAAUCAUCUGGGGUUCUCCCCAGUGCACUUUUCCAGUUCAGGCCAGCAUCAGUUUUCGCCGGGGGAUAAAGGCUUCGGGAAUGUAGCUCUCUUCGGGGAGUGUUAUAGCCCGUUGUGUAAUACCCUGGCGGAGACUGAGGUUCGCGCUUCUGCAAGGAUGCUGGCGUAAUGGUCAUCAACGACCCGUCUUGAAACACGGACCAAGGAGUCGUCUUCGUAUGCGAGUGUUCGGGUGUCAAACCCCUACGCGUAAUGAAAGUGAACGCAGGUGAGAGCUUCGGCGCAUCAUCGACCGAUCCUGAUGUUCUCGGAUGGAUUUGAGUAAGAGCAUACGGGGCCGGACCCGAAAGAAGGUGAACUAUGCCUGUAUAGGGUGAAGCCAGAGGAAACUCUGGUGGAGGCUCGCAGCGGUUCUGACGUGCAAAUCGAUCGUCAAAUAUGGGCAUGGGGGCGAAAGACUAAUCGA